CUUGGUCAUUUAGAGGAAGUAAAAGUCGUAACAAGGUUUCCGUAGGUGAACCUGCGGAAGGAUCAUUACAGAGUUCAUGCCCGAAAGGGUAGACCUCCCACCCUCGUGUAUUAUUACUUUGUUGCUUUGGCGAGCUGCCUUCGGGCCUUGUAUGCUCGCCAGAGAAUACCAAAACUCUUUUUAUUAAUGUCGUCUGAGUACUAUAUAAUAGUUAAAACUUUCAACAACGGAUCUCUUGGUUCUGGCAUCGAUGAAGAACGCAGCGAAAUGCGAUAAGUAAUGUGAAUUGCAGAAUUCAGUGAAUCAUCGAAUCUUUGAACGCACAUUGCGCCCCUUGGUAUUCCGGGGGGCAUGCCUGUUCGAGCGUCAUUAUCACCCCUCAAGCUUCGGCUUGGUGUUGAGGCCUGCUGUAAAGGCACCCUCUAAAAUCAGUGGCAGUGCUGUCAGGCUCUAAGCGUAGUAAAUCUAAUCGCUAUAGACACCUGGUGGACACUCGCCAGAACCCCCCCAUUUUUUAAUGAUUGACCUCGGAUUAGGUAGGGAUACCCGCUGAACUUAAGCAUAUCAAUAAGCGGAGGA
This 579-nucleotide ribosomal RNA is filed under the name uncultured fungus. RNAcentral's name for it is "eukaryotic LSU rRNA". The stretch from base 216 to 369 matches the Rfam family "5.8S ribosomal RNA". Lineage: Eukaryota; Fungi. The record is from RNAcentral.